UACGGAGGGGACUAGCGUUGUUCGGAUUUACUGGGCGUAAAGGGCGCGUAGGCGGCUUGUCAAGUCACUUGUGAAAUCUCUGGGCUUAACCCAGAACGGCCAAGUGAAACUGACAUGCUAGAGUGCAGAAGGGGCAAUCGGAAUUCUUGGUGUAGCGGUGAAAUGCGUAGAUAUCAAGAGGAACACCUGAGGUGAAGACGGGUUGCUGGGCUGACACUGACGCUGAGGCGCGAAAGCCAGGGGAGCAAACGGG
RNAcentral lists this ribosomal RNA (253 nucleotides) under uncultured bacterium. RNAcentral's name for it is "partial 16S ribosomal RNA". It matches the Rfam family "Bacterial small subunit ribosomal RNA", at positions 524 to 776 of the family's 1533-position model. The record is from RNAcentral.